RNAcentral lists this ribosomal RNA (497 nucleotides) under uncultured bacterium. RNAcentral describes it as "partial 16S ribosomal RNA". It matches the Rfam family "Bacterial small subunit ribosomal RNA", at positions 28 to 507 of the family's 1533-position model. The record is from RNAcentral.
GAUGAACGCUGGCGGCGUGCCUAAUACAUGCAAGUCGAGCGAACAGACGAGGAGCUUGCUCCUCUGACGUUAGCGGCGGACGGGUGAGUAACACGUGGAUAACCUACCUAUAAGACUGGGAUAACUUCGGGAAACCGGAGCUAAUACCGGAUAAUAUAUUGAACCGCAUGGUUCAAUAGUGAAAGACGGUUUUGCUGUCACUUAUAGAUGGAUCCGCGCCGCAUUAGCUAGUUGGUAAGGUAACGGCUUACCAAGGCAACGAUGCGUAGCCGACCUGAGAGGGUGAUCGGCCACACUGGAACUGAGACACGGUCCAGACUCCUACGGGAGGCAGCAGUAGGGAAUCUUCCGCAAUGGGCGAAGGCCUGACGGAGCAACGCCGCGUGAGUGAUGUAGGUCUUCGGAUCGUAAAACUCUGUUAUUAGGGAAGAACAAAUGUGUAAGUAACUAUGCACGUCUUGACGGUACCUAAUCAGAAAGCCACGGCUAACUACGUG